This 497-nucleotide ribosomal RNA is filed under the name uncultured bacterium. RNAcentral's name for it is "partial 16S ribosomal RNA". It matches the Rfam family "Bacterial small subunit ribosomal RNA", at positions 28 to 507 of the family's 1533-position model. The record is from RNAcentral.
GACGAACGCUGGCGGCAUGCCUAAUACAUGCAAGUCGAGCGAACAGAUGAAGUGCUUGCACUUCUGACGUUAGCGGCGAACGGGUGAGUAACACGUAAGGAAUCUACCUAUAAGCGGGGGAUAACAUUCGGAAACGGGUGCUAAUACCGCAUAAUAUCUUCUUCCGCAUGGAAGAAGAUUGAAAGACGGCUCUGCUGUCACUUAUAGAUGACCUUGCGGUGCAUUAGUUAGUUGGUGGGGUAACGGCCUACCAAGACGAUGAUGCAUAGCCGACCUGAGAGGGGGAUCGGCCACAUUGGGACUGAGACACGGCCCAAACGCCUACGGGAGGCAGCAGUAGGGAAUCUUCCGCAAUGGGCGAAAGCCUGACGGAGUAAUGCCGCGUGAGUGAAGAAGGCCUUCGGGUCGUAAAACUCUGUUAUAAGAGAAGAACAAAUUGUAGAGUAACUGCUACAGUCUUGACGGUAUCUGAUCAGAAAGCCACGGCUAACUACGUG